AAAGUAUGAUGAGGGCAUUUUUAAGCAUCUCCUUAAAUCUCUCCAAACUAUCAUAAAUAUAUUCUCCUUUAAAUUGGACAAAAUGUGAUAUCAGUUCUAAAUUU
This is a small nucleolar RNA of Dendrobium catenatum, 104 nucleotides long. The record is from RefSeq and is a predicted model, not a curated record. NCBI's taxonomy places the organism in Eukaryota, Viridiplantae, Streptophyta, Magnoliopsida, Asparagales, Orchidaceae.